ACUCCUACGGGAGGCAGCAGUGGGGAAUCUUGGACAAUGGGGCGAACCUCGAUCCAGCCAUGCCGCGUGAGUGAUGAAGGCCUUAGGGUCGUAAAGCUCUUUCGCCUGUGAAGAUAAUGACGGUAGCAGGUAAAGAAACCCGCGUAAUCCGUGCCAGCAGCCGCGGUAAUACGGAGGGGUUAGCGUUGUUCGGAAUUACUGGGCGUAAAGCGCACGUAGGCGGAUCGGAAAGUUGGGGUGAAAUCCCGGGG
Molecule: ribosomal RNA, 251 nt
Filed under: uncultured bacterium
Lineage: Bacteria
Description: partial 16S ribosomal RNA
Rfam family: Bacterial small subunit ribosomal RNA
Source: RNAcentral